Molecule: transfer RNA, 72 nt
Filed under: Bos taurus (domestic cattle)
Lineage: Eukaryota; Metazoa; Chordata; Mammalia; Artiodactyla; Bovidae
Also listed under: 2 other names
Description: tRNA-Cys (ACA) (tRNA-Cys-ACA-1-1)
Rfam family: tRNA
About the family: Transfer RNA (tRNA) molecules are approximately 80 nucleotides in length. Their secondary structure includes four short double-helical elements and three loops (D, anti-codon, and T loops). Further hydrogen bonds mediate the characteristic L-shaped molecular structure. tRNAs have two regions of fundamental functional importance: the anti-codon, which is responsible for specific mRNA codon recognition, and the 3' end, to which the tRNAs corresponding amino acid is attached (by aminoacyl-tRNA synthetases). tRNAs cope with the degeneracy of the genetic code in two manners: having more than one tRNA (with a specific anti-codon) for a particular amino acid; and 'wobble' base-pairing, i.e. permitting non-standard base-pairing at the 3rd anti-codon position.
Source: Rfam by way of RNAcentral
UCCCUGUUGGCUCAGAGGUUAAAGCAUCUGCCUACAAUGCAGGAGACCCAGGUUCGAUCCCUGGGUUGGGAA